CCCGCACAAGCGGAGGAGCAUGUGGUUAAUUCGAUGAUACGCGAGGAACCUUACCUGGGCUCGAACGUAAGAUGACUGUAGGUGAAAGCUUACAUCUCUUCGGAGCAUUUUACGAGGUGCUGCAUGGUUGUCGUCAGCUCGUGCCGUGAGGUGUCGGGUUAAGUCCCAUAACGAGCGCAACCCUACCUUUAGUUGCCAUCAGGUAAUGCUGGGGACUCUAAAGGAACUGCCUACGCAAGUAGUGAGGAAGGCGGGGAUGACGUCAAAUCAGCACGGCCCUUACGUCCAGGGCUACACACGUGCUACAAUGGCCGAUACAGAGGGCAGCUACCUGGUGACAGGAUGCAAAUCUCCAAAGUCGGUCUCAGUUCGGAUCGGAGUCUGCAACCCGACUCCGUGAAGUUGGAUUCGCUAGUAAUCGCGCAUCAGCCAUGGCGCGGUGAAUACGUUCCCGGGCCUU
Molecule: ribosomal RNA, 460 nt
Filed under: uncultured Sphingobacteriales bacterium
Lineage: Bacteria; Pseudomonadati; Bacteroidota; Sphingobacteriia; Sphingobacteriales
Description: bacterial SSU rRNA
Rfam family: Bacterial small subunit ribosomal RNA
Source: RNAcentral